AUUCCAGCUCCAGUAGCGUAUAUUAAAGUUGUUGCAGUUAAAAAGCUCGUAGUUGGAUUUCUGGUUUCACAGAACUGGCCUACUUCCUCAAGGUCGUGUGCGCCGUGUUUUGUGUACCAUCCUUCUAGAAAUUGUGUUCCAUCCCUUCACUGGGAUAGAUCCGAGAUCUAGAUCUUUUACUUUGAAGAAAUUAGAGUGUUCAAAGCAGGCUCGCGCUGUGAAUACAUUAGCAUGGAAUAAUAAUUUAGGACUUGGUAUCCUAUUUUGUUGGUUUUCAGGAUCUAAGUAAUGAUUGAUAGGGAUAGUUGGGGGUGCUAGUAUUGAGCGGCCAGAGGUGAAAUUCUUGGAUUCGCUCAAGACUAACUUAUGCGAAAGCAUACACCAAGGAUGUCUUCAUUA
This 399-nucleotide ribosomal RNA is filed under the name Cercozoa sp. RNAcentral describes it as "partial small subunit ribosomal RNA". It matches the Rfam family "Eukaryotic small subunit ribosomal RNA", at positions 582 to 975 of the family's 1831-position model. The record is from RNAcentral. Lineage: Eukaryota; Cercozoa.